This 437-nucleotide ribosomal RNA is filed under the name uncultured bacterium. RNAcentral's name for it is "bacterial SSU rRNA". It matches the Rfam family "Bacterial small subunit ribosomal RNA", at positions 93 to 526 of the family's 1533-position model. The record is from RNAcentral.
AUUUGGCGGACGGGUGAGUAACGCGUAUGCAACCUACCUACAACAGGGGAAUAACCCGUUGAAAGACGGACUAAUACCCCAUAACACAGGGAUCCCGCAUGGGAAUAUUUGUUAAAGAUUUAUCGGUUGUAGAUGGGCAUGCGUUCCAUUAGCUAGUUGGUGAGGUAACGGCUCACCAAGGCAACGAUGGAUAGGGGAACUGAGAGGUUUAUCCCCCACACUGGUACUGAGACACGGACCAGGCUCCUACGGGAGGCAGCAGUGAGGAAUAUUGGUCAAUGGACGCAAGUCUGAACCAGCCACGUCGCGUGAAGGAAGACGGCCCUACGGGUUGUAAACUUCUUUUGUAAGGGAAUAAAGUGUAGUACGUGUACUAUUUUGCAUGUACCUUACGAAUAAGGAUCGGCUAACUCCGUGCCAGCAGCCGCGGUAAUAAU